RNAcentral lists this long non-coding RNA (5317 nucleotides) under Bemisia tabaci. RNAcentral describes it as "lncRNA ENSSSA1UGG000935". Lineage: Eukaryota; Metazoa; Arthropoda; Insecta; Hemiptera; Aleyrodidae. The record is from RNAcentral.
AUGAGUGCUGUGCCAUAUUUUGGACUCCUUCUAGCCCUCGUCAUCCAAUCGAUGGUGGCAAUGGACCCAGGCGGGCAGCAGCGGCGACCGCAGCGCAGCCAGUCGGUUUUGCAGAAAAUGAGAAACGUGGCCCGUGUGGCAGACUCGGAUCCUUGCCUGGACCUCGGCGAACAGAAGAUCCAGCGGAAAAAUUGGGAAGAAAUAGAUGAAAAGUCCGCCCUUUGUCAGGCUGCCUUUGAUGACCUCAUGUCACUGCCGGACGACCUGAAAGACACUUGCAAGGGCGCCUGCCGGGCAGAGUGUCAACUCAAGAAGAAGAAGUCAGGAAAAUGGUUCCAGUGCACGGUAGUGACACCGUCUCAUUGUUUUUGUAAACCAUCUACGAAGCCUUUUGCGUUUUGUGCCUCGAAUGUCGCCCUGGAGCUUCAACGGGACCCAGAUGCUCCGGCCCCUGGAAGGACACUUCACCAGGCAUUGAGCGCCAAUCGCCGAGGAGGCGGCGGAGCCAACUGACAUCCAAUUUUAAAUCACAUAGUUAAAGUCAUUUCAUUUAUUUUUUAUUUAAUACGAAGCUUCUCUAUUUAAAAUUAUACAUAUUUUAACUUAUCAAGACAGUGGUUAUCCCGGUGCCCAAUUUUGUUACGCACUGGAGAUGUGGAGAGACUUAUAAUAUUCCAAGCAUUUUAAAUUUUCAAUAGGCUAUCUGCAGUAUAAUAUUCCAAGCAUUUUAAAUUUUCAUUAGGCUAUCUGCAGUAAUAUUCCAAGCAGUUUAGAUUUUCAAUAAGCCACCUGCACUUCCAUGCUAAGGAAAAACACCGUAUGAACCUUCAAAUGUUGCCAUGUCUUAUUCAAUAAAAGACGAAUUUACUUGGAAAAUUGUGAAUAUUUUACAUCGAAUAUUUCAGACAAAUUUGUUUACGAUUUAAUCUACAACAUCUGAACAUUUCAAAGAGAAAUAUGCAUAAACGUCCGCAAAAAUAAACAUUUUAUCGAAAGAAAUUUGACAACUCUCGAAUGUUCAUACGGUGUUUUUUCCUUAGCACGACAGUGCACACAGCUUGGACAGCUUGAAAGCAUAUCGAUAGUGAAACUGCCAGACCACGCAUCUAGUUUGCGGUGUUUGAAAAUUUCUGCUCCCAUUUUAUUUUUUGAGGAGAAUAAAUAAAAAAUGCUCCUUAAAGGUUUCACAGAAUAUCGUUUCUUUAGACGUUUAAUGUUUUUUUUUAUUAAAAUGUAAUUUUUCCUGAACUUUUUGAAUGUAAAACUGGUUAUUUUUUUAAUAGAACUGUUGUUCUUUAUGAUCUCCUACCAUCGAUUAGUCAUGUUUAAAACAAUACCGAUUUGUUUCAACACCAUUUUUUCAGUAAAUUAUGCAUUUAAACGAUUGUAGGGGGGGGGGGGGGGUCUGGCCAGCCUUACGAGUGCCUUACGGGGGCGAGGGAGGUUCUAAAAAUCGGAAAAAGUGCCUUACGUAAUUUGCGGAAGGCUCCGUAUCAGGAAAAAAUUAUGAAAAAUACUGCAAACAGAACUCGUUGAACACUCUUAGAUGCAGUAGUAAAGUAUGUUCUUGCGAAUUCUCCAGAGAUGUAAAGUCUGAUAAAAAAGUGACAGGGCUCAAAGAUAAUAAAAUUAAAGAAGAGGAAGGAAUAAGAAGCAGGAGAAAAAGAGGAAAAACGAGACGAAGAGAAAAGUAAAUAUUCUUAUUCUACCUCCUUCUUUGAAAAGCUGAGAAGGGAAUUCUUCUUCCUUCUCUUUGCCUUUCUCUUCUCCUUCUUCUGAUUUCUAAUUGGACGUAUUUAUACUAAAAGGAACUAUGUGCAAAGAUGGGGUGUGCUUGUGGAGGCUGCAUAAGAAACAAUGUAAAAGUGGAUAUAGUUACUUUUGAGAAAAUGGAAGAGCGGGAUUUGACAUUAAAUCAAAAGGAACUGAGCGCUAACUCGUGAGCCUUGGGCAUGUGACUAGAGCGUGUGGACAGGGCUCAUGAGUUAAAGAUCGCCAUGCCGAUCGUCGUCCUUCUCGUCGUUGCCGCUGACGUCACUGGCGCUUUAUAUUCCCCAUUCAUUCUUAUGGCCCGAGCACUAACGAGCACACCCCAUUUUUCCACUUGCACAUAGUUCCAUUUAACAUAAAUACGUCCAAUUUAUUGUGCCCCCAUAGUCAUGCAUCUAAUAGCGGAUUGGAGUCGCAGCUGAUGAUGGGAGCUAAGGUCCCGAAACGUCCCGUUAUUUUAAAAACAAUUUUUUACGCAACUGAGUGUGUUUUUACCAAAAGUUAUCUUUGUGUUUUUAAAGAACUACUACUUUAACUUGUGUAGGCUCCUAACGGUAUUCAAAGGGGGGAAAAAUGCAUCUAAUUACAUGCAGCCACACUCUUCGAACACGAUGAACAUUCUUCAUGAUAAAAAAAAUCGAAUAUCCUAUUUUCCAGUGUACACCUCCAUUCGUUGGUAUUGUUACUUUUAACGUGACAGUUGUGCAUGUCACUUGCUUAUAACAACAUGAGUAAAGUACGUCACUGAAUUUUUCAAUGGCGGAUUACCCCGAAAAGCACUUACCCACUUCAUGACGAGUUACUGAAAGCUGGUAUAAACAAUUUUUUUGCCAUAAGCUUUGAAGUUGAUUGGACCUGUAAAUUUAGUUGGCAGUGAGAGCGUAACGUUGGGAAUACAAUACUCGCUUGAUUGGCAAAUGCUGCCGUGCUAAGGAAAAACGCCGUAUGAGCCUUUAGACGUUGCCAGAUUUUCUUCCCUAAAAACCGACUUUACUGGGAAAAUUUUGAAUAUUUUUCUUUACAUUUUUUAGACGAUUUUGUUCGUAAUUUCAGCUCAAAUAUCUGAAAAUUCAAAAUAAAAAAAUAUGAGAAACUUUCUUUAAAAAUAUGUGUUUUUCCUGGGGACAUUUGGCAACUCUCGAAUGCUCAUGCGGCGUUUUUCCUUAAAGCACUGUAGAAUGGACCUGUAAAUUUAUUUUUCAGUGAAAGCAUAACGAUGGGAAUACAAUUCUCACUUGAUUGGCAAAAUUUCACCUAUGGAUGUAGAUUUUUACUGAACAUGCUAAAAACCCGCCCGUGUGACACACGCCCUUUUACUCACACUCACUUGAGUACAGGAGUAAACAAGGGAAAAAGUUAUUUCCUAGGUAAUUGAUACUUUGCAAGGACCCAUGACUCAUGGGACGCACUUCCGGAGAAAGGAACAAUAUGUCGAUAAAAUAAAUUAACAAGGAAUUUUAUAACUAGAUCGUGUGCGUUUAUGGCUCUUUUAAACUUACAUCCAUCGCAACAUAGUUCUCUUUAGCAUAACUGCAUCCAUCUGAGUUUUUGUUGGAGUUAUUCUGUCGUUCUCCGGUCGAAGGAAUGUAAUUUUCUUCCAAGGUUGCGAAAUCGAUCCAAAUAAAUCCAUUUUUUGCAUACACACACAAAAAAAAAAAAAAAAAAAAAAGUCAUUGCUGUUUCCGUUCAAAAUUUUGCUGAUUUUUGCUUGUGAUCGAGAGAGAAUUCUGUGUAAUUUUCCAUUUGAAAUUCCCGAUUGAAAUCUAGUAGAUUGCUAACCACUCUGUCGUGCUAAGGAAGAACGCCGUAUGAACAUUCGAGAGUCACCACGUUUCCUUUGAUGAAAGGUUUAUUUUUGAGGUAAAUUAUGACCAACCCGUGAGUGGAUUGACAAAUCCGUAAAUCGAUCGACAAACCCGUGAGUCGAUCGAAUUUUGUCGAUCGAAUCGGUGUCGAUCGAUUCACGUUUUCAUUUUUCGAUCCAUUCAUAUCGAUCGAAUCGACACGGGUGUAUUUAAAUUAAAUGUCGAUCGAAUCUGUGUCGAUCGAUUCAUGUCGAUCGAAUCACAUUUUAAUUUUUCGAUCGAUUCAUGUCGAUCGAAUCGACACCGGUCUUUUAAUAAUUUGUCGAUCGAAUCGGUGUCGAUCGAUUCAUGUCGAUCGAUUCACGUUUUCGCAGUUUUCGAUCGAUUCAUGUCGAUCGAAUCCAUACCCUCCAUUUUUUCCUAGUACCGUACACCUCGGAGGAAAACGGUGUAGUUAUACUAAAAAAAGGAAAAGGCACAGAAAAAAAGGUAUGAGUCCGCCGAAAGAUGCAAGUGCUUUAAAUUUGAUCUGGAUCUUAUUCUUUUAUCCUCUUCUUGAAACAUUUUUCGGGAGGCGGACCGCUUGAGGGUGUCUUUCCUACUAACCCAUUUCCAUAUCACCAAGUGACCCUUUUGAGCCAUCUCUGGAUCCGCCGUGCGUGGAGCUCGUCCGAGAGCUGACGUGUAGGUGCGUGGCUGAAAAAGAAUUUUUGGGAAAAAAUUAAUAGCAAAAAAUGUGGUAUAAAUAGGAGAAAAAGAGAGGAAUGUUAGCUACACCGAGGUAGGAUAAAAACGCAAGGUAGAUUUACACAGGUAUGGACAAGUUGAAAAUUUCCCAUGAGCCUCAGUACGUGUCACAUGACCUCGUGACGUAGGUUACGGGGCCCGUUUGACCACACUAUUCUCAACUUCAUGAAUGUAUUGCUCCAUUUAAACAUCAAAACACUAUCACACAUUAACAAUGGUAGGUAAUAAAAUCCUCAGAAACAAUUAAAUUAUCUCCAAAACUUAAAUAACGAAUUAUUACCAAACUGGAGCAACAUAACCAAUAAGUCACCAACCAAUCACAAUAAUGAAAGCAUAAAAUGGCGGAAGUUAAGGGGCCACUAGAGAGCCAAUCAGAGGCCGGGUUUUCAACUUGUCCAUACCUGUGUAAAUCUACCUUGAUAAAAACGAGUAUGAACAGACAAAGCGAAAGUGAGAGAGGAAAAAGUGCAAAACAAGUGAAAAAAGGGUGCAAAAACGUAAAAAAAAUUCCACGCGCUCGUCCGUAAGUUCAAUACCACGCCAAUCGAAGAGGCCUCGUGGCUCGAAUUUUACAAAAAUUUUGUGCGCAGUAUUUUUUUGUUUCGGGUUUUAAAAGUGUGGAAUGAUUUUUUGAUUCGAGCCGAUUGGAGUCGAGAACUUGGAAACCGGUGAAUAUUUUGAUAUUACCAGCAUUAAUAAUCAUAAUUCAAUUCCUGAUCGUGAAUAAAAAUCGAUUCAACACGAGUCAAAACGUUAUAUCUUUGUCGAAACUUCUAGAAAUAUAGUUCAACGAAUAAGCAACACUCAACGAAUGACAACAGUAUGCUACAUUCGUUCGGAUUUUGUGUGAUCUAUUAAUCAAUUUUGCAGUCAAGUUUAACUUCAAAGUGACGGUAUUGUAAGUUGACUGAUCCAAAUGUGAACAUUUGAAGUGAUUUUAUCAUAAAGGAGAGCGACACUGAAUUUCUCUACAUGUUAGCAGCAUAUAUUUCAUG